AUUGAACGCUGGCGGCAGGCCUAACACAUGCAAGUCGAGCGGUAGAGAGAAGCUUGCUUCUCUUGAGAGCGGCGGACGGGUGAGUAAUGCCUAGGAAUCUGCCUGGUAGUGGGGGAUAACGUUCGGAAACGGACGCUAAUACCGCAUACGUCCUACGGCAGAAAGCAGGGGACCUUCGGGCCUUGCGCUAUCAGAUGAGCCUAGGUCGGAUUAGCUAGUUGGUGGGGUAAUGGCUCACCAAGGCGACGAUCCGUAACUGGUCUGAGAGGAUGAUCAGUCACACUGGAACUGAGACACGGUCCAGACUCCUACGGGAGGCAGCAGUGGGGAAUAUUGGACAAUGGGCGAAAGCCUGAUCCAGCCAUGCCGCGUGUGUGAAGAAGGUCUUCGGAUUGUAAAGCACUUUAAGUUGGGAGGAAGGGCAGUAAAUUAAUACUUUGCUGUUUUGACGUUACCGACAGAAUAAGCACCGGCUAACUCUGUG
Molecule: ribosomal RNA, 484 nt
Filed under: uncultured bacterium
Lineage: Bacteria
Description: partial 16S ribosomal RNA
Rfam family: Bacterial small subunit ribosomal RNA
Source: RNAcentral